This 253-nucleotide ribosomal RNA is filed under the name uncultured bacterium. Its description in RNAcentral is "partial 16S ribosomal RNA". It matches the Rfam family "Bacterial small subunit ribosomal RNA", at positions 524 to 776 of the family's 1533-position model. The record is from RNAcentral.
UACAGAGGUGUCAAGCGUUGUUCGGAUUCACUGGGCGUAAAGGGUGCGUAGGUGGUAAGGUAAGUCGGAUGUGAAAUCUCCGAGCUCAACUCGGAAAAUACAUUGGAAACUACCUUGCUUGAGGGUUGGAGGGGGGACUGGAAUACUUGGUGUAGCAGUGAAAUGCGUAGAUAUCAAGUGGGACACCAGUGGCGAAGGCGAGUCCCUGGACAACUCCUGACACUGAGGCACGAAAGCUAGGGGAGCAAACAGG